Molecule: long non-coding RNA, 2434 nt
Organism: Myotis daubentonii (Daubenton's bat)
Lineage: Eukaryota; Metazoa; Chordata; Mammalia; Chiroptera; Vespertilionidae
Exons: 2
Source: RefSeq, a predicted model, not a curated record
CGAGACGAGAACUCAGUGGUUUUGUAAUCAGACAUGAUUUAUAGCCAUGGAAGCAAAAAGUGUUCGGGAACCUUGGGAGGAGGGACUGUGAGGCAGAGGAGAAUUCAUGCAAGAGCUUGCAAACCCUGGACCCAGUGAAUUAAGAGGAGUAGGAUUGGGCCUAGCUGGCGUGGCUCCGUGGUUGAGCAUCAGCCUAUGAACCAGGAGGUCAUGGUUUGAUUCCCGGUUAGGGCACAUGCUGGGUUGCAGGCUCCAUCUGAUCAAUGAUUCUCUCUCUCAUCAUUGAUCUAUCUCUCUCUCCAUCUCCCUUCCUCUCUGAAAUCAAUCUAAAAAGUGUGUGUGUGCGCGUAGUAGGGUUGGAUUUAGAGUAGAAAGUUCUAGAAGAUUUGAGUCUUAACUCUGUCUCUUCAUAUGUAUCUGUCAGGAGGGUCCUACAAACCAAGCCCAGGUUCAGUGGUUUGCUGGGAGGACUCAGGACUCAGCAUAUAGUCGCACUCAUGGUAGUGAUUCUUACAGCGAAGGGAUACAAGGCAAAAAUCAGCUAAGGGAAAAGGUGCUCCACUCUCUCAUGUAUAAAUGAGAAUGGUAACAUCCCUCUCAGAGUUGUCAUUAGAGUAAAAUGACACAUUUGUGUACACACACAUCACUGUACAAUUACUAUCAGUUAUGAGAUUUCUUUACUGUCAAGCCAGUGAAUGUGCCACACACUGAAAACAAAGAGGGGCAAUGAGAAGGGGCACAAAAGGAAACUAAAUUUUUAGACACUUUGCAUAACAGACAGUGCUAGAUACUUUCGACAUGUUUUCACUGAUGUUUACAAAAGUCCAAAAGUAGGUCAGUUUUACACAUUUUCAAGGAAGGAAACGGAGGUUCAGAAAGAAGAAACUUGCCCCAAGUUACAUGCUUCUGACUCUAAAACUUGUGUUCUGUCUACUACAGUAUUCCCCAAGCAGCCUCAUAGGUCUGACUCUGAAACCCUACUACUAACUACUAAGGAAGUGAACACUCUGAAUGCCUUGCAUGCUUUCGGCUGAGGUAAACUUGUACAGCUCAAGCAUAGCUGGAUGUAUUUCCUGUGUCCUGAUCUGAGGUCAUACUAACGUAGCUAAAUGACGAAACCAAAUUUCUUGCUAUCUUUUAUUUAAUAAUCAUAACCUUUAUCCUUCUGUGGUUGGUUGUGUUUCUUAAUGGCACAGUCUUUGGCGGAACUUUGAUCAUGUCAAGAUUUUGUAAUGAAAAAUUUCUUAACGUGAAUAUUUGAAACUGGAAGUAUUUGAACAACUAAAAGCCACUCUGUGUUAUAAGUAUAAUAUAUUAGGAUAAUCUCACCUGGGUGUUCCAAAGUAAAUCCGUUAUCAUUUUUUUUAAAAUAUAUUUUUAUUGAUUUUUUACAGAGAGGAAAGGAGAGGAAUAGAGAGUUAGAAACAUCGAUGAGAGAGAAACAUCAAUCAGCUGCCUCCUGCACACCCCCUACUGGGGAUGUACCCACAACCAAGGUACAUGCCCUUGACCGGAAUCGAACCUGGGACCCUUCAGUCCCCAGGCCGACGCUCUAUCCAGUGGGCCAAACCGGUUAGGGCCCGUUAUCAUUUUUAUAGUCUUAAAAAAAAUGUUUCUAACCCUACCAGAGGACAAACACCUUUGAUUCCUAGGUCUCCCCUCCCAAGCUAAAUUUGAAUAUUGGUCAAAGAAAGAAACUUGGGUCCAUUUAUUUUAAGCAUCUUAAAUGAUGUGUGACCAGUUUUUAGCUGCCAUUGGCUAGAAGGAAAUGUUUUGAGGUGUCUCUAUUUUUAACCUUUAUUUUUUUCUGAACCUAAAAAGCUUUCCUUGAAAUGCAAACUUAAGAAUAUUAUCAGGCAUCUCAAACAGUGAUAUUUUUCUGAUGAAAGGAAAAUGAGCCCUGGCUAGGUGGCUCAGUUGGUUGGAGCUUCAUCCUGUGUACACCAAAAGGUUGAGUGUUUGAUUCCUGGUCAGGGCACAUACCGAGGUUUUGUGUUUGAUCUCCGGUGGGGACUCAUUCGAGAGGCAACCAAUCAAUGUUUCUCUCUCACAUCGAUGUUUCUCCCUCUCUCUUUAAAAAUCAAUAAACAUAUCCUCAGGUGAGGAUACAGAAUAAUAAUAAAUAGCCCUAGCCGGUUGCUCAGUGGUUAGAGAGUCAGCCCGCAGACUGAAGGGUCUUGAGUUCAAUUCCAGUCAAGGUCACAUAACUCGGUUGCAGGGCAUGUGCAGGAGGCAGUCAAUUGAUGUGUCUCUCUCACAUUGAUGUUUCUCUCUCUGUGUCUCUCCCUCUCCCUUCCACUCUCUCUAAAAAUCAAUGGAAAAAAUAUCCUCAGGUUUAACAAAAAUACGUAAGUAAGAUAAUAAAUAAAUAAGGAAAAUUAAAAGUGUUGAACUGAUCAUUCAGUGCUAUUGUGAGAGACUCAUUUGUCUGGCA